Non-coding RNA from Gossypium raimondii (Peruvian cotton), 144 nucleotides. The record is from Rfam. Lineage: Eukaryota; Viridiplantae; Streptophyta; Magnoliopsida; Malvales; Malvaceae.
UGUUAAAAAUAUCAUCUAAUUUUACUGUUAAAAUUAGUGUGGUUAAUAAAAUAAUCAGACUGUGAUAUAAAACGUACCACGUGUACCUUAUACUGAUGUAUAAGAUCCCGAUUUUAAUAAUAAAAAUAGAUGAAAUGUUUAACA